UGGGGAAUUUUGCGCAAUGGGCGAAAGCCUGACGCAGCGACGCCGCGUGUGCGAUGAAGGCCUUUGGGUCGUAAAGCACUGUCGACCGGGACGAAAACUCGCGAGCUAAUAUCUCGCGAGCUUGACGGUACCGGUAAAGGAAGCACCGGCUAACUCUGUGCCAGCAGCCGCGGUAAUACAGAGGGUGCAAACGUUGCUCGGAAUUAUUGGGCGUAAAGCGCGUGUAGGCGGCUCGUUAAGUCGGUUGUGAAAGCCCAUGGCUCAACCAUGGAAGGGCGUCCGAAACUGGCGAGCUAGAGUCCCGAAGAGGAUGGCGGAAUUCCCAGUGUAGAGGUGAAAUUCGUAGAUAUUGGGAGGAACACCGGCGGCGAAGGCGGCCAUCUGGGAGGGCACUGACGCUGAGACGCGAAAGCGUGGGGAGCAAACAG
RNAcentral lists this ribosomal RNA (428 nucleotides) under uncultured bacterium. Its description in RNAcentral is "bacterial SSU rRNA". It matches the Rfam family "Bacterial small subunit ribosomal RNA", at positions 355 to 775 of the family's 1533-position model. The record is from RNAcentral.